UGUUGUUUUUAAGUAACAGAA
This is a non-coding RNA of Caenorhabditis elegans, 21 nucleotides long. Lineage: Eukaryota; Metazoa; Nematoda; Chromadorea; Rhabditida; Rhabditidae. The record is from Ensembl.